RNAcentral lists this long non-coding RNA (550 nucleotides) under Olea europaea subsp. europaea. Lineage: Eukaryota; Viridiplantae; Streptophyta; Magnoliopsida; Lamiales; Oleaceae. The record is from RNAcentral.
AUUACAUUUAAAUCAAAAAAUUUUCCUUUUCUUUUUUUCAAUCACUCAUUUUUCAAAAAAAAUAUUAUUUCACUCAUUUUUAUUAUCAAGAAAUGGGGGCCAAACAAGGACUAAAUAUAAAGUUGGAUGAUAAUUGUUUGACUUAAACCUAAAUUGAUGGUAGGAUUUAUUUUCAGGUACACAUGCUAUGAACGUAGAGUGAUGCUACAGUUACAUAAUAGGCCCCUGCUAGGAAAGUCAUCCCACAAUGAUUUUUUUUGUGAAUAUAGUUGGCCCUUCCACACAGUGAGGGACAUGUAAAGCCGCCGUCAAAGAAUGUCCUCAUUGAAGUAUACAAUUUUGACACAAUUGGAGUAUGGAGGCCAUUAAAUAAAGGCGGUAGUUAGAUCAUAUUUUAUUGGUCGAGUAGCAACCUGGUAUUCAAUCUUAAAAAAUGAGCAAAUUAAUCUUUAAACUUUUAUUAACUCACUUUUGUUGAUGCAGAGACACAUUGUAAACUAACAAGGUUGACCAAGUUCAUUGACCAUAAAAUUUCUCUUUUACAUUAUCA